AAUAAACUUAAUUUUCGUUUUUCCAUGUACAACGUUUAAUCAUUCGUCUUAUUAAAAAAUUUUACGAUAAAUAUUUUUAUUGUUACUAGAUGAUAAAAUAUGAAUAGUAUUUUAUACGUGAUUUUUUUAAUUUUUAUAUAAAAUUUUUAAAUAAGACGAAUAGUCAAACGUUAAACACGAAAAA
Non-coding RNA from Oryza brachyantha (malo sina), 184 nucleotides. The record is from Rfam. Lineage: Eukaryota; Viridiplantae; Streptophyta; Magnoliopsida; Poales; Poaceae.